Non-coding RNA from Phrynosoma platyrhinos (Desert horned lizard), 72 nucleotides. Lineage: Eukaryota; Metazoa; Chordata; Lepidosauria; Squamata; Phrynosomatidae. The record is from the annotation of a GenBank genome assembly.
GCCAGUGUGGUGUAGUGGUCUGAGUGUUGGACUAUGACUCUGGAGACCAGGGUACGAAUCUCUGCUCAGCCA